RNAcentral lists this ribosomal RNA (518 nucleotides) under Hyperolius glandicolor. RNAcentral describes it as "partial large subunit ribosomal RNA". It matches the Rfam family "Bacterial large subunit ribosomal RNA", at positions 1913 to 2599 of the family's 2925-position model. Lineage: Eukaryota; Metazoa; Chordata; Amphibia; Anura; Hyperoliidae. The record is from RNAcentral.
CGUGAUCUAAUUUAACGGCCGCGGUAUCUUGACCGUGCAAAGGUAGCAUAAUCAAUUGUUCUUUAAAUAAGGACUAGUAUGAAUGGCAUUACGAGGGUUUAACUGUCUCCCUAUUUUAAUCAAUGAAAUUGAUCUUCCCGUGAAGAAGCGGGAAUAUAAUUAUAAGACGAAAAGACCCCAUGGAGCUUUAAACUUAUUUUCAAUUACCAAAAUCCAAAACAUAUACCUGGUAAAAAUGAUAAUCGUUUUCGGUUGGGGCGACCCUGGAGAAAAAUAAAUCCUCCAAGCUGAAUAGAUCAAAAAUCUAAUGUUAGAGUGACAACUCAAACAAUCAAAAUCUUGACAAAAUGACCCAGAAUUUAUCUGAUCAACGAACCAAGUUACCCUGGGGAUAACAGCGCAAUCCAUUUCAAGAGCCCUUAUCGACAAAUGGGUUUACGACCUCGAUGUUGGAUCGGGAUAUCCUAGCAGCGCAGCCGUUGCUUAAGGUUCGUUUGUUCAACGAUUAACAAUCCCAC